AACAGUCGACCUCUGACCCUGACAGUGAACCAAAACAAACACCUGGUUCUAGACCCAGUCAGCAGUCAGCAUGCAGGAAACUACUCCUGUGCUGUCAAAACCCAAAACAGCAACCGCUCUAAUGAAAAGACUCUCACCGUCCACAAUAAAUCAGGAAAAUGGAUAACAGCAGCAGCUGCAGGACUCUGUAGUUUUCUCCUGGUUAUAGUAGCCCUCGCUGUCUUCUUGUGGUUUAGAAGAAAGAGGACUUCUAGUCAAUCUGCUAGAGAUGAAACCGCAGACAACUUGGAGCAGCUAAACCCUGGCCCUGUGUAUGAGGACAUCUCUGCCCAACCAACAGAGCAGAAUGAUCUUCACUACAGCAGCAUCCACUUCUCAAAGAACCACACGGAUCCUCUUUACAGCACAGUCCAGCCACAUCCGCCUCAAGAACAAGAGCAAUCCCAUUAUGCUGUUGUCAACUUCAGACUUAGCACGACCCCUGAGUAAGUAUCCCUUGGUAUUACGUCUUCAGGCUCUAUUUGAGGGAUAUAUUGUUAGAAUUACAUUGCUUAUUAUAGGAUUAUCCACAUAUCCUAGUAAUAUCCC
Long non-coding RNA from Centropristis striata (black sea bass), 588 nucleotides. RefSeq lists it as uncharacterized. The transcript is spliced from 3 exons. The record is from RefSeq and is a predicted model, not a curated record. NCBI's taxonomy places the organism in Eukaryota, Metazoa, Chordata, Actinopteri, Perciformes, Serranidae.